UCCCUUCACCCCUCCUUUUUGCCCCCGAUUUCCCUUCCCCUUCAAAAUUGCCCCCCAAAAUGCGCCCCCCCCCCCCCCCCAGCACGGCAAAGCCGUGCCUCAUCGACCCCUAGCGGGGUUGCUGGUGUGGGCGCUGGGCUGCCAGCACAAUAUAUAAGAAUAUAUACAGAAUGGUUUGGGUUGGAAGGGGCCAUAAAGAUCACCUAGUCCCAAAUAUAUAGGACCACAAAACACCUCGAGUUGGAAGGGACCUUAAAAACCAGCUAGUCCCACCCCCCUGCCAUGGGUACGUACAUACGGGGUAUAUGGGUAUGGUGUAUAUAACCUACAUACAGGAUAUAUAGGUAUGGUGGUGUUUUCACAUCACGUCCCCAGCAGAAAGCGCGUUCUGGCUGAUUUCAGUGCUCUCCAGCGCUCGGAGAUUGCUGUGGAUCUGUGCUACAUAAUGGCUUGCAAAACAAAGGAUAAUUUCGUUAGGGGCCGAGUCGAGGGACGGUGCCAAAUUUUUACUUGCAACUUGAAACCAGUCCUUGAGUAACUGACGCCACAGAAGCCUUAGGAAACUUUUGUUUGUCGCUCCCAAUUAUUUUCUGUCAAAAGUAUUUGCAAGACACUUUUCGGGUAGUAGUAAACUCAAAUUGAUGGUAAUUUGUUUGUGUAAAUCCAAGUAGAUUUAUUUAUCGCCCCAAAAUCGAGGGAUAAUUCUUUUUCAGAACGCACUAUUAAACGGUGUAAGCCAGGAAUCAUGUCCUGGGACAAACGAGCUGCAAAUCAAUUUUUGUUAAAAGUACCAGGAGGCCUAUACAAUUUUAAAGGGUUUUCUUUAAUAUCAAGUGAAAUUGAUCAUCAAACACCUUUUAGAUAUUCUGUGUGUACCUCACCAAAAUAAAAUACUACGUUUCUACAAGGCUGUCAAGUUAUAAAUCUCAGAAUAAUGUGUAGAGGAGGGUGAAUUACAAAUGAGCCCUUUUGUAGCUGGUUACACUGAAGCACAAAAAGCUCAGUGCUUUGUCCAGGGGAGGGAGUACUUCCAGCUACAGCAAUUUUCAGUUCAGUGCCUGAUCCUUCGCCUUUCAAAAAUGUUCAGCUGAAGCUCUAAGAGUUUACCAUCCUAUAGACACUUCUCUGGGUUAUGUCGAUUAUGUGGGUUAUGUGGAUUUUUAUUUCCCAUAUCAAACUUCUCUAGGCAGAUGCUAACCAUUUGACUUGUUUUGGGACUAAAUAACAAAGGUUCCAUAGGAUAGCACAGUUGAAAGAAGGAAGCAAAAAACCAACAGCUUAUGUUAUAAAAAUGGUCAUUACCAGAAUGGCUGGUAUUAAAGAAAACAGUUUCUUAGUUUGAAAACAGGCAAGCUGUUUUUCACUGCGCUGUGUACAAGCACUGACAUUUAUAGUCACUCGUGUAUUGUUUGUAACUGUCAUAAAAACUGAUGAAUAUUUAAAACUUGGGUUAUGGGGAAGAUGAGCAAAAAUUAAAUAUUGCGUUACUGAAGAUUCAUAUUCAAGAUUUGCAUGUGGUUUUUGUUUCUUACCGGCAUGUGGAAACUGCCAUACCAAAUAAAGACAGCGGUCUGUCUAAUUUCCUUAUAGACACCAUCAUUAACGUAUUUACUUUCCAGCACUGCCUGCAAGAUAGUCGUGUGCUGUUAUAUCUCUUACAAAUGGGGAAGUGUAACACUGCGAGGGGAAGUGGCUUUAACAGCGACAUGCAGAAAUCCUGCCUGUGGAACUGAGCUCUGGCAUCUUUGCUCACCAGAGGGCCUCGUGGCUGUCCAGAGGGACCCCGACAGGCUGACAUGAGGUUAACAAGGAGAAGGGCCACCCAGCUGGAAAGCAGCUCUGCAGAAAAGAAGCUAGAGGUCCUGGUGGACAAGAAGUUGAACGUGAGCCAGCUAUGUGCCCUUGCUGCUAAGAAGGCUAACUGUAUUCUUGGUCACAUUAGGCAAAAUGUUGCCAGCAGGUCAAGAGAGGUGAUCCUUCCCCUCCACUUAGCAUUGGUGAGGCCACUUCUGGAGCACUGUGUCCACUUCUGGGUCCUCCAGUACAAGAGUGACAUGGACAUGCUGAACAGAGUCCAAGGGAGGCCACCAAGAUGAUGGAGGGCCUGGAGCACCUCUCCUGUCAGGAGAGGCUGAGAGCUGGGACUGCCCAGCCUGGAGAAAGGGAGGCGCAGGGGGAUCUCAUCCAUGUCUGAGGGGAGGGUGCUGAGAGGACAGAGCCAGGCUCUUGUCAGAGGUGCCCAGUGCCAGAACAAGGGGCAAUGGACACAAAAAGGCACCCAGGAGCCCUGGCACAGGCUGCCCAGAGAGGCUGUGGGGUCUCCUCCUUGGAGGCUUUCCAAAGCCGCCUGGAGAUGGGCCUGGGCAGCCUGCGCUGGGUGGCCCUGCUGGAUCAGGGCUGGGGCCUCCAGAGGGCCCCGACAGCCUCAGCAGUUCUGGGAUUCUCUGAUCUCAAGUUUCAUGAGUAGAUUCCUUGUUAUGAGGUCAACCUUUUUUAUCUCCUUGCUAGUCAUCUACACAUGAUAUUCCAAAAUAGACAACCAUAGUAAUCACCAUAUGAUACUGGUUCCUUAAUCAGUUUGUAGUUUGCAUAUAACUUGGAGACUCAUAGCUGUCUGUUUUUUAUUGUGAUUAAUUAUCCAUUAAAAUAUAAAAAUAGGUCAUUUUUAAUAUUCUGCUUUCCUAUUGACUUCUGUAAUAUAUUUUGGCAAUGGGCUUCGUAGGAUAAUUAAUUUUAAAUGAAAUUUCAUUAAAUUGUAAUUAAAAAUGUUUUCUUUAACUGCUGUCAUAUGUUGUGAAGUGGGACAUGGGAAUUCUGGUUUUAAAUUUUUUAUUUAUUUUUUUUUUACUCUUCAUUACAAUUACAUUCUAAUUCAUCCUUUUCUCUAUCAUUACCCUAGUUACCCUCUGUACUGAACAGUACAAGUCUUAAACAUAUUUUUGACAAUCUUUCCGUGCAAAAGUUCAGGUAAAGAGAAUAUAAAUCUGUAUGUAGUUCCAACUUCUUUCCAGAUGAUGGGUGUGGUCUCCCUGACAUAUAUAGCUGCUGUUACCGUCUGUGUGCAUGUAGAGUGAGUCAGGAAAUCGACGGUCGUGGGUUAAACUGUAAUUUACACUCCUUUACAAAAAAAAAGGAAGCAUUAAUAUAUAAAAGUGUGUCAGGUUCAUUGCAUUUUCUGGUUUGUCUGAGGACAGAUUUUAGCAUUUAGUGUGUUUUAUAAACUAGAAUUCUUUAAUGGAAUACAAUAGCUAGUAUGCUUACUGUAUUAUAUACACAACAAAAUAUGUUCCUAAUUGUUAUGACUUGGAAGUGUUCAUCCACUAUGUUUAGUCACCCAUAUUUUUGUGUAUUUCAGAAAAAAAAAAAAAAAAAAAAAAAGACACACCUUAUUUGCAGGCCUAUUUGCAUUAAUUUUGUCCUCAGUUCUAUUCCUGGUCUUUUAAGGGAAGUGAGAAGCUUUAUUUCAGUUUCUGUCAGUCCAAGGUGGUGGGUCUUAUGUUUUGCUGAGGAAUGAAACAGAACUAAAUUUCCCUUAAGAAAGAAACUGAAAAAGACACGGAAGAGCUUAUAGGCAAAGCAGGGUAGAGGAAGAGAUUGGUUUUAUUUUAGCUAAGCUUGCUUUUCUGUUCUCUUUUGGCUAAAGGUUAAGAAAGAAAAUAGUCUGUAAAUGAGGACUUCUUGAAUUUUCAAUAGAGUCUAAAAGGUUGAAGAUGGAGCAUUUUAUGACAACUCAUGCAGACUGAUGUCAGGAUGAAUAUAAAAGUGAAUUCCUGAGUACUUACAUGCAGGAAUGAUCUUUCAUCUGAAAAAAAAAUGCAUGUCUGUGUGGAGGAGUGUUGCUCAAGUUGCUCUUUAAGUAAUUCACAUGAUGACUCCCUGAAUUCCUCCUGGUAUUUCAUUAGAGAUGCUGUCUUCCUCCCUUGCAACGGUGAGUAGCUUCCUGUGGUUCAGAGACGGGGGAAGCAACCUGUACACGUUACCCAAGUUGUGCUCUGCAGCAUUUUGAGAUUUAAGAACGCUAAGGACUGCACAAAAAUUUCAUCUCUUGUGUCCAGAGGAAGGACACCAUGGGGCAUUGCACAUUAUGACUCCUGGAAUUCGUGGUUGCUGGCAUGGAGUCUGUGCAAUUAGGCAUAAUAAUCCUCUCACACCAAACAAACUUUCCUAUGUCAAGAACAACAUUUCCGUAAUUACUCUAUGUACUGUUUUGAUUUGCACUUGGAUGGAAGCUUGAAGCAUUUACCUGAUUUUUAUUUAAAUGUUAAACGAAACAAACAAACCUGUGAACUGACUGCUUUUACCCAGAUGUGGAGGUAAUAAACCAAUUUAUAAUUUUAAAAUUCAAUAAUCUGGAAAUCUUUCCAUGGUAAUAAUAAAUAAAUAAAUAAAUAAAUAAAUAAAUAAAUAAAUAAAGGGAAAAAAUGUCAUUUCCUCUUACAAAGAGAACAAACAAAAAUCUUGAGAAAGGUGAAGUGUGUGAAAUGUCUGUUUCUGAGCCUGGCAAGUGUUCUUGAAACCCUCAACCUCCUCAGUGAGAUUAGGUGCUGCGUUUGAGGGUUUUGGUCCUUACUCAUUCAAGAAAGAGCGUGCUCCUCUCUAAACCGUGAUUUAAUCAUGCAAUUGUAGCACUGGCUUUUUGUAAGAGAGGAUGGUGCCUGGCAUUUAAAUUCUUCGUGAAAAGGAGUGAAAAGACGUAGCAGCCUACGUUAUCAGGAUAGGUUUCUGUUCUAGCUAGCGUAAUAUGAAAGGAGCCAUCUUGUGGUUGUCUCUUCUGCAAAUAAAAUCUUGCAACAAUAUUGCCCUGAAAAGCUGAAGUUAAAGUUGCAUCCUACUUCUGUGAUACUUUUUCUUCUACUUGUUCAGUAAUGUUACAUUUUGAGUAAUUUCAAGAAGAAUCCUUUUUCCUUCUAUCAGAUAUUUCAUUCUACUAAAUAUUCUGAAUUAAAAUAACACACGUAACUGAAUCAAACUUGAUACAUUCAGUCUACGUCCCCUACUAGUCAACCCACCCCAAUAUUUGGUAGUCCUCAGACCUCUCUCAUCCUUUAAUCUGUACUCUAAAUUCUGGUUUAAACUGCAGUCCGCAUCAUACCCUCUGAAAUAGGACUAUUGUGGUAAAACUACUUUCUAAAUAAAUGCUAAGUGAUGUAUUUAUUUAUUUAUUUAAUAAACUCUGUUAAAGUGUAAUCCUUGGGA
Anas platyrhynchos (mallard) is the source of this 5196-nucleotide non-coding RNA. NCBI's taxonomy places the organism in Eukaryota, Metazoa, Chordata, Aves, Anseriformes, Anatidae. The record is from RefSeq and is a predicted model, not a curated record.